This 497-nucleotide ribosomal RNA is filed under the name uncultured bacterium. Its description in RNAcentral is "partial 16S ribosomal RNA". It matches the Rfam family "Bacterial small subunit ribosomal RNA", at positions 28 to 507 of the family's 1533-position model. The record is from RNAcentral.
GAUGAACGCUGGCGGCGUGCCUAAUACAUGCAAGUCGAGCGAACAGACGAGGAGCUUGCUCCUCUGACGUUAGCGGCGGACGGGUGAGUAACACGUGGAUAACCUACCUAUAAGACUGGGAUAACUUCGGGAAACCGGAGCUAAUACCGGAUAAUAUAUUGAACCGCAUGGUUCAAUAGUUAAGGACGGUUUUGCUGUCACUUAUAGAUGGAUCCGCGUCGGAUUAGCUAGUUGGUAAGGUAACGGCUUACCAAGGCGACGAUGCGUACCCGCCCUGUGCGGGUGACCGGCCACACUGGAACAGACACACGGUCCAGACUACUACGGGAGGCAGCAGUAGGGAAUAUUCCGCAAUGGGCGAAAGCCUGACGUAGCAACGCCGAGUGAGAGAUGAAAGUCUUCGGAUCGUAAGACUCUGUUAUUAGGGAAGACAAAAUUUCGAAGUAACUAUGCACUUCUUGACGGUACCUAAUCAGAAAGCCACGGCUAACUACGUG